Oryzias latipes (Japanese medaka) is the source of this 325-nucleotide non-coding RNA. The record is from RefSeq and is a predicted model, not a curated record. Lineage: Eukaryota; Metazoa; Chordata; Actinopteri; Beloniformes; Adrianichthyidae.
GUCAUGGCACCUCUGUCAUCCCCGCCCCUCUGCUCUGCUCCUGACUCCACCAGCUGUGACCAAUUCACCCUCAUCAACUCUGCCCUUCUUAAGGAGACCCAGCUCCACAACUCAUCGCCAGAUCGUUACCCCUUAUGGAUUCCUGCUCGCCAGUGUCACCUGUGUGGAAGUCAGUUCGAGCCCCCCUGCUGUUCUGGAAAUACCACCCUCUGCUAGCUGCGCUACUACCUCCAGCCACGCCUCAAGCUUCGCUCCUCUCUGGAUCACAUUCACGCCAGCAACAUCUUCCUGGAAGGAAAGAAUAAAAACCCUUUCUUACCUCUCA